This 541-nucleotide ribosomal RNA is filed under the name Aetapcus maculatus. RNAcentral's name for it is "partial 16S large subunit ribosomal RNA". It matches the Rfam family "Bacterial large subunit ribosomal RNA", at positions 1846 to 2586 of the family's 2925-position model. Lineage: Eukaryota; Metazoa; Chordata; Actinopteri; Perciformes; Pataecidae. The record is from RNAcentral.
UAAGAGGUCGCGCCUGCCCUGUGAUAUUAAUUUAACGGCCGCGGUAUUUUGACCGUGCAAAGGUAGCGCAAUCACUUGUCUAUUAAAUAUAGACCCGUAUGAAUGGCAAGACGAGGGCUUAACUGUCUCCUUUCUCAAGUCAAUGAAAUUGAUCUCCCCGUGCAGAAGCGGGGAUAAGAACAUAAGACGAGAAGACCCUAUGGAGCUUUAGACAACAGGAUAGUCUAUGUUGAAACCUCCUAAAUAAAGGAAUAAACAUUUUUAGGUCCUACCCUAAUGUCUUUGGUUGGGGCGACCGCGGAGAAAAAGUAACCUCCACGUGGAAUAAUAGUACAACUACUCCAUACUAGAGCUACAGCUCUAUGAAACAGAAUUUCUGACCAUACAGAUCCGGCUUAUGCCGAUUAACGGACAGAGUUACCCUAGGGAUAACAGCGCAAUCUCCUUUUAGAGCCCAUAUCGACAAGGAGGUUUACGACCUCGAUGUUGGAUCAGGACAUCCUAAUGGUGCAGCCGCUAUUAAGGGUUCGUUUGUUCAACG